Melanotaenia boesemani (Boeseman's rainbowfish) is the source of this 3335-nucleotide long non-coding RNA. RefSeq lists it as uncharacterized. Lineage: Eukaryota; Metazoa; Chordata; Actinopteri; Atheriniformes; Melanotaeniidae. The record is from RefSeq and is a predicted model, not a curated record. The transcript has 3 exons.
UAGAUUCCGCCCACCUACUCCAAUCUCCACCUCAUGGUGGGAUGGUGAUAGUGCCAAGCAUCACAAAGGCCAAAAUCCUUCAUAUACUGUUUAACACUUUCUGUGGAUUGCUAGUCUUGAUGACUUCCUGUGGUACUAUGUUGGUCCGGUAUAACCGAGUGAGGUGAAAAGGGAGUGAAAAAAGGACGGGUCUUCAACAUUUGGACCAUAUAUAUUUGCAGUACAUAACUUAACAUUUUGAAUAGAUAUUGUAACUAUUAUGAAUCUUGCUUCUGGAUCUAUGAUUGUAUUCUUAAUGUCAACGUUUAACCUUCUAUUAAUUAGAGUUGCUGCUCCUCUCUGCCUAGAAUUAUAACAAGCUGAGUACACAUAUGGAAACUGGGCUGUCGAAAAAUCCACCGCUGAGAUUGACAAAUGAGUCCAAGGAUGCCAGUAAUGGCAAUGAUUCCAGACAGGAGGCGGCAAAGAGAGGCUGCAGCCAGAGCAUCCCCCACCCCCCAACCUGUUCCACUUCUUCAAACCCAUAUCCUCAACUCCCACUCUCACCCCAUAUCCCCUGCUCCAGUGCAGGCCGCCCCACCCACUGAAAAGAGGACAGUUCCCCAGCACCAGGGCCCAGGCUUCACCGCCCAGCCCAUGCCGGGGCAGCCCAGCCACCCAAUGGAUGUUCAACUGAUGACCUGGGACCUUCUACUCUCAAAACUUGUUUGUUUUUCCAAGCUGACAAGCUAACACCCACAGGUCUAAUAUCUCAACCAGGGCAAAGACGAGAUCAUCUGGUGGGAUCCCCCACCAGGACUUGUUUAACUUAACAUUCUUGCGGGUAAUAAACUUUUAAAGGUUUGGCACUUCAGCAGAAGAACACUGCAGAGGACAGACUUUCUUUAUCUAAGAUACAGUAGAGAACAAAGAUUCUGUCAAUAUUUUAAAUAUUUUCAUAUGCUGUUGAUAAGCUAUUGGUAUUUAGUUAUGCAGAUCAUCGUUAUGGGUACAAGGUUGACAAGUUUGAUUCCUUCAUGAUCUGAAACUUUCCUCACCAGUCUUUAUAGUUCAUUUUAAUGACAUUUGCUUUGUUUGAAUGAUGAUAAUGUUUCUUUAGAAUGUAUAUCAGUAUUUUAACAAUGACAUUUAAGACUUAACAUUUUAUAACGUACAGAUGUAUUAACAAAUGUUUGAUACUUUUACAAAGGAAAUCAGAAAGGAAACACUGAACCAGCCCCCUAGGUCAUCUGAUCCCAGCACUGCAGAGGCUGCCCAUUGGUUGAACACCCUCUUAUGGGUGUGGACCAUCCUCACACUUAAAAAAACUUACGACAAAGAUUUCGGAUUCACUAAACUAAUAUGUGGUGGUUUGUCUUUCCAGAGAAAUUUAGUGAUGUAUGAGCCCAAUGACUCAAACCAGGUGGAGGAAGGUUUAAUGGGAAUAAAUGAAAAUAGAUCAUUGACUUUAGGUACAAUCAUCAUUUGUAUGGUGGCAACCCUUCCCAUGAGUGACAUGAGUAAGGAUCUCCAAUGUGUGGGAUCAUCCUCAACUGUUCUAAGCAGAUGGACGUAAUUUAGCUUCGUCUGUUCUGGCAACCUGGGGGUGAAUGUUUAUUCCCCCAGGUAGAUAUUUCCUUGCUGCAAAUACAAUCAGGAAAGAUCUAAUACAGCGAGUAUUUCCGAUGCUAGUAUUGGUAUCGGCCCAUCCCUAAUACAUAUGCACAUGCAUACAUACAUACAUACAUAAAAACAUGGAGAUACAUUGAUAUGUAUACAUACUUACAUGAAAAUACUUAUGUACAUGUAUAUACACACACACACACACACACGAAGCACGUACAUCAAUACGUGCAUGUAUUUACAUACAUGCAUACAUGUAUAUAUGUAGCAGGACACACGGAUGUUAUGGGUUUCAUUGAUUGCCGUAUGUGUUGGUCGGCUAAUUACUGAGCAGGCCGAUGAUAUAAAAGGCAAGCAGGGCGUGCAGGCUGCCUCUUGCUUCCUGGUGGCUGGGUUACGUCAGUUCUUGGUAUCCGUAAUUUCCCCCUCUUGGAUGGUGCAGGUAGGCUAGCAGCUGCUGCUGCAAAUUGGUUGUUUGUCCCUCCAGUGCUGCUCACUCUGGUUAUUGUUGCAGAGACUCACCGGGUAUUGCUGCAGGGUGCACUCUUCACCAAGCUCCCGGAUCCAUUAGGCUGAGGCUGCAGGCUGCAUAACCAGUCGGGGAUUCCUUUUAUACACAGCGGCGUGAUAAUCCGCCGCCUGACGCUAAGCUGCAGAGGAUAAAGCGGGUCGGGGAAGGCUCCGUGAUACGAGGUCGUCUGAUUCGAGCUGUGGAGUGACCGUGCUGCGCUGGAUCACGUCUGCUUGGACCGCUGCUGCUUUGCUUUGCUUUGCUUGGUUCCGUUUUGUUUUGCUUGGCUGUGCUGGUGUGGCUGCUCUUUGCUCGGCGCGAUCACUGAAGAGGAUCUUCGUCAGGAGGACGUGUCGGCUAAGUUUUGGUUUUUUUUCCAGGACUGACGGCUGCGGUGUGCCAGAAGGAACCUUUUAUCUUGACUAUUAGCCGAGCUGACGUGCACGCGUGCACGUGCACGUUUUAGUAUAGACGCUAUUUUUUUGUAUUUUCUUUUAUCAAGUUUGUGUUGGUUUGUCUUAUUUAGCGUGAUUAUAAUUCUGUUUUUUUCCUUUAUCAGGUGCUGAGCCCCUUGGUGGUGGAUCGGUGUCCCUAUUGGUGGUUUCCCCCUAUGUGUGUUGUGUGGAUUUGAGUUGGUGUGGUUUGUUCACCCUCACUUGUGGUGUCCCUGGGAUCCCCUUUUUCGUUUGUUUUGGGACCCUUCCCAACCAAUCAGACGCUUUUCUCCAAAGCGACUUCGAGACGAGAGUAAGAACACCAGCAGAAACCAACCAGAAGGGACGUCAUCAUUAAGUGGUACUCAGACUGCUGGGAGUCCAGGUGGACGCAGGUGCUGUCAUGUAGCACUAGAGGAGGACUUUCUUUUUUUUCCUUAUGAUUUCAUCACACAACAUCAUCUUAAGCAUAAGUGCACGCAUCUUCUUCAGUACUGAGCUGAACCAAAGAGCUGGACAAAUCUUUUUAACUCAUUCCAAUGAGUAAAAGAGUUAAGCUAAGUGUGGAAAUGCUCCUUAAACAACUGAGUCUUUAGCUUGCUUUUAAAAGUGGAUAAGGACGGCUGAAUUCUAUACCUUCAGAAUUUGUUCAGAUCAGUCUAUCAGAAACUUGCAAACUUAUCUGUUCACCUUGUAUUUUUGUGCAUGUUUUUUAUUGUAACUGCAGGGAUUAAAACUAUAAAGACAUUAAUUUGCUCUUGUUGCAUCUUAUUCAAUAAAAUCUAAAA